This is a long non-coding RNA of Octopus sinensis (East Asian common octopus), 210 nucleotides long. RefSeq lists it as uncharacterized. The transcript has 4 exons. The record is from RefSeq and is a predicted model, not a curated record. Lineage: Eukaryota; Metazoa; Mollusca; Cephalopoda; Octopoda; Octopodidae.
AGUAAAAGAAUGAAGAGAUGGAAAGACAGAAGAUAAAAGAAGCAUAAAAGUUCAUAUUUCAAGUUUCCGAAAUUAUAGAAACCAGAGCAUGAGUCCUUAGGUGCAAUCCUGCGUAUAGCCAUGUGGGUUAAAGUCCUGAUAUAGUAGACAACCCAAGAAAAAGACGCAAACAUAUCAACUCUUUGUCCUUCUUUUUUCUUCUUUCUCUCC